GCUAAACGCGAAGAACCUUACCAGGUCUUGACAUCCCUCUGACCGGUCUGGAGACAGGCCUUCCCUUCGGGGCAGAGGAGACAGGUGGUGCAUGGUUGUCGUCAGCUCGUGUCGUGAGAUGUUGGGUUAAGUCCCGCAACGAGCGCAACCCUUGAUCUUAGUUGCCAGCACUUCGGGUGGGCACUCUAAGAUGACUGCCGGUGACAAACCGGAGGAAGGUGGGGAUGACGUCAAAUCAUCAUGCCCCUUAUGACCUGGGCUACACACGUACUACAAUGGUCGGUACAACGGGAAGCGAAGCCGCGAGGCGGAGCCAAUCCUCAAAAGCCGAUCUCAGUUCGGAUUGCAGGCUGCAACUCGCCUGCAUGAAGUCGGAAUUGCUAGUAAUCGCGGAUCAGCAUGCCGCGGUGAAUACGUUCCCGGGUCUUGUACACACCG
Molecule: ribosomal RNA, 438 nt
Filed under: uncultured bacterium
Lineage: Bacteria
Description: bacterial SSU rRNA
Rfam family: Bacterial small subunit ribosomal RNA
Source: RNAcentral